AUGAACGCUAGCGGGAGGCUUAACACAUGCAAGUCGAGGGGGUAAAUGGUAGCAAUACUAUGAGAUCGGCGGACGGGUGCGUAACGCGUAUGCAACAUACCUUGUGCAGGGGGAUAGCCCGUGGAAACGCGGAUUAAUAUUCCAUAGUCCAGCUAUAUCGCAUGGUAUAGUUGGUAAAGAUUUAUCGGCACAAGUUUGGCAUGCGUCUGAUUAGCUUGUUGGUAGGGUAACGGCCUACCAAGGCUACGAUCAGUAGGGGUUCUGAGAGGAAGGUCCCCCACACUGGGACUGAGACACGGCCCAGACUCCUACGGGAGGCAGCAGUGAGGAAUAUUGGACAAUGGAUGGAAAUCUGAUCCAGCCAUGCCGCGUGCAGGAAGACAGCCCUAUGGGUUGUAAACUGCUUUUAUAUGGGAGCAAUAAGGUCUACGUGUAGACUGAUGAGAGUACCAUAUGAAUAAGCAUCGGCUAACUCCGUG
RNAcentral lists this ribosomal RNA (479 nucleotides) under uncultured bacterium. Its description in RNAcentral is "bacterial SSU rRNA". It matches the Rfam family "Bacterial small subunit ribosomal RNA", at positions 29 to 507 of the family's 1533-position model. The record is from RNAcentral.